AUGGUCCGUAUUCGUGACUCCGAGGUGCAAUAUAAGCUCACCACCGUGUACGGUCCCGCGGACUCUUCUCGCAAAGAUGCCUUCUUCGCGGAGCUUAUCAGCCAAAAACCGCCCAACGGUAUGCCAUGGCUUGCGGCUGGGGAUUUCAACCAAAUUUAUCGUGCAAGAGACAAAAACAAAAGACAUGUCAACCGAAGUAGAAUUAAUCGGUUCCGAGCGACACUGCAAAGUUGUGAGCUUAAAGAGAUACACUUGCAAAAUAGGAGGUUCACUUGGAGCAACGAGAGGGAAAAUCCGACUAUGUGCAAACUGGACUCGUUUUUCUGCAAUGCCGAGUGGGACACCACUUUCAGCACUCAUCUGCUUCACGCCCUCUCGUCCUCGCUAUCCGAUCACUGCCCGCUUCUCCUCGCGAUGACAAGGGGCCUCGGAGGCCUAGAACCUUCAAGUUUGAAAAUUUUUGGAUUGCUAUGCCCGGCUUUAUGGAGGUGGUCAAAAAGGCUUGGAUCGAGCCGCUCGAGCAUGUUGAGCCAUAUCAAGUCCUGUUCCAUAAACUCAAGAAGGUGGCUCUCUGCCUUUCCGAAUGGAGUAGGGGCCUUUUCUCCAAGGCAAAGGUUCACCUACAUGCCGCCCUAUUGGUGA
Molecule: ribosomal RNA, 642 nt
Filed under: Triticum aestivum (bread wheat)
Lineage: Eukaryota; Viridiplantae; Streptophyta; Magnoliopsida; Poales; Poaceae
Description: partial small subunit ribosomal RNA
Source: RNAcentral